Molecule: ribosomal RNA, 711 nt
Filed under: Limosilactobacillus vaginalis
Lineage: Bacteria; Bacillati; Bacillota; Bacilli; Lactobacillales; Lactobacillaceae
Description: bacterial SSU rRNA
Rfam family: Bacterial small subunit ribosomal RNA
Source: RNAcentral
AUGGGCGCAAGCCUGAUGGAGCAACACCGCGUGAGUGAAGAAGGGUUUCGGCUCGUAAAGCUCUGUUGUUGGAGAAGAACGUGCGUGAGAGUAACUGUUCACGCAGUGACGGUAUCCAACCAGAAAGUCACGGCUAACUACGUGCCAGCAGCCGCGGUAAUACGUAGGUGGCAAGCGUUAUCCGGAUUUAUUGGGCGUAAAGCGAGCGCAGGCGGUUGCUUAGGUCUGAUGUGAAAGCCUUCGGCUUAACCGAAGAAGUGCAUCGGAAACCGGGCGACUUGAGUGCAGAAGAGGACAGUGGAACUCCAUGUGUAGCGGUGGAAUGCGUAGAUAUAUGGAAGAACACCAGUGGCGAAGGCGGCUGUCUGGUCUGCAACUGACGCUGAGGCUCGAAAGCAUGGGUAGCGAACAGGAUUAGAUACCCUGGUAGUCCAUGCCGUAAACGAUGAGUGCUAGGUGUUGGAGGGUUUCCGCCCUUCAGUGCCGGAGCUAACGCAUUAAGCACUCCGCCUGGGGAGUACGACCGCAAGGUUGAAACUCAAAGGAAUUGACGGGGGCCCGCACAAGCGGUGGAGCAUGUGGUUUAAUUCGAAGCUACGCGAAGAACCUUACCAGGUCUUGACAUCUUGCGCUAACCUAAGAGAUUAGGCGUUCCCUUCGGGGACGCAAUGACAGGUGGUGCAUGGUCGUCGUCAGCUCGUGUCGUGAGAU